AGUGAACGCUGGCGGUAGGCCUAACACAUGCAAGUCGAACGGCAGCGCAGUAAUUGCUUGCUCUUACGGGUGGCGAGUGGCGGACGGGGGGGGAAUGCAUCGGAAUCUACUUUUUCGUGGGGGAGAACGUAGGGAAACUUACGCGAAUAACGCAUACGACCUACGGGUGAAAGCAGGGGAUCUUCGGACCUUGCGCGAUUGAAUGAGCCGAUGUCGGAUUAGCUAGUUGGCGGGGUAAAGGCCCACCAAGGCGACGAUCCGUAGCUGGUCUGCGAGGAUGAGCAGCCACAGUGGAACUGAGACACGGUCAAGACUCAUACGGGAGGCAGCAGUGGGAAAUAUGGGACAAUGGGCGCAAGCCUGAUCCAGCCAUACCGCGGGGGUGAAGAAGGCGUUGGCGUUGGAGAGCCCUUCUGUUGUGAAAGAAAAGCAGCAGGUUAAGACCGCGCUGUGCUGACGGUAGCCAAAGAAUAAGCACCGGCUAACUUCGUG
This 492-nucleotide ribosomal RNA is filed under the name uncultured bacterium. Its description in RNAcentral is "partial 16S ribosomal RNA". It matches the Rfam family "Bacterial small subunit ribosomal RNA", at positions 30 to 507 of the family's 1533-position model. The record is from RNAcentral.